ACUUUCAAAAAGCUGGAAAAUGCUAGCUAGCUAAUGCUAACUGUGGCAAACAAGCUCACAGCCAAACACUUAAAACAAGUCGCUAGCAGCUAAUAUAGCAGCUCCAGUUUUGUUCCUACGGCUUACUUAAGACGCAGCUGUACAUUAAUUUGUUUUGCAAAACAUUGACAUUGAUGCUUGACCAGAAUGAUAAAUUAGAAACUGAAAAAAAAAAAGCUAGCUAAUGUUAGCUAGAUAUUGCUAGAUUUGAAAACAAACAGACAGCCAAUCACUGAAAACAAUCCAAUAUCAUCUAACAUUAGCAUACCGAGUUGGGUUUUUAUUAACAAAUUCAAAUUUUGUAACUCGUGUAGAAUAUGUGGCAAUAAGGACGAGUUA
Long non-coding RNA from Hippocampus zosterae (dwarf seahorse), 378 nucleotides. RefSeq lists it as uncharacterized. Lineage: Eukaryota; Metazoa; Chordata; Actinopteri; Syngnathiformes; Syngnathidae. The transcript has 2 exons. The record is from RefSeq and is a predicted model, not a curated record.